Molecule: ribosomal RNA, 370 nt
Filed under: Lacticaseibacillus rhamnosus
Lineage: Bacteria; Bacillati; Bacillota; Bacilli; Lactobacillales; Lactobacillaceae
Description: bacterial SSU rRNA
Rfam family: Bacterial small subunit ribosomal RNA
Source: RNAcentral
AGCUAAUACCGCAUAAAUCCAAGAACCGCAUGGUUCUUGGCUGAAGAUGGCGUAAGCUAUCGCUUUUGGAUGGACCCGCGGCGUAUUAGCUAGUUGGUGAGGUAACGGCUCACCAGGCAAUGAUACGUAGCCGAACUGAGAGGUUGAUCGGCCACAUUGGGACUGAGACACGGCCCAAACUCCUACGGGAGGCAGCAGUAGGGAAUCUUCCACAAUGGACGCAAGUCUGAUGGAGCAACGCCGCGUGAGUGAAGAAGCUUUCGGGUCGUAAAACUCUGUUGUUGGAGAAGAAUGGUCGGCAGAGUAACUGUUGUCGGCGUGACGGUAUCCAACCAGAAGCCACGGCUAACUACGUGCCAGCAGCCGCGGU